RNAcentral lists this ribosomal RNA (505 nucleotides) under uncultured bacterium. RNAcentral's name for it is "partial 16S ribosomal RNA". It matches the Rfam family "Bacterial small subunit ribosomal RNA", at positions 28 to 507 of the family's 1533-position model. The record is from RNAcentral.
GACGAACGCUGGCGGCGUGCCUAAUACAUGCAAGUAGAACGCACAGUUUAUACCGUAGCUUGCUACACCAUAGACUGUGAGUUGCGAACGGGUGAGUAACGCGUAGGUAACCUGCCUGGUAGCGGGGGAUAACUAUUGGAAACGAUAGCUAAUACCGCAUAAUAUUGAUUAUUGCAUGAUAAUUGAUUGAAAGAUGCUAUUGCAUCACUACCAGAUGGACCUGCGUUGUAUUAGCUAGUAGGUGAGGUAACGGCUCACCUAGGCGACGAUACAUAGCCGACCUGAGAGGGUGAUCGGCCACACUGGGACGGAGACACGGCCCAGACUCCUACGGGAGGCAGCAGUAGGGAAUCUUCGGCAAUGGACGAAAGUCUGACCGAGCAACGCCGCGUGAGUGAAGAAGGGUUUCGGAUCGUAAAGCUCUGUUGUAAGAGAAGAACGGGUGUGAGAGUGGAAAGUUCACACUGUGACGGUAUCUUACCAGAAAGGGACGGCUAACUACGUG